CCUUCUUGUCAUUACAGCUACAGCCAUAUGCACGCCCACCAUCUGGUUCUGAGGGCAACAUAUGUAUCUGACAACAAAUGCAGGAUCUGACUGUACGACUCGCUGACAAAAGCUCUACUGCUCUGGAGAUGUGAAUCAGAGCAAUAAGGAGAUGCCUGCUCAGAGGCUGGAGAACAUCUGCUCAGUGACAGCGGCUGCACAUCUUGGGCUGCUCUUACCUGCAGAGCUAAGAGAAGGUCGAGCAAGUUUGAAACAUUGCCUCUUGCUGGAGCACUACCAGGGGAAAACAUAAACACAAUGAUGAGACCAUGAAGAUAGCCUUCAUCUUCAAGAGGCUACCCGGGAAGCUGAGCAAAGCUGAAAGGAAUACAUGCAGCCAAGUGGAAAAGGGUUGUGUAUUUCUCUUUGCCAUUUCAGAAUGCUAGAUUAUGGCUCCCUGGCAAAUAUUGUGUUCAUCACGAGGGAAAGAACAUGCUCAGACCUUGAUGUGACAUUGGAGAAAUAAGGAGAGGGGGGAUUUAGUCUAUUAAAAAUAAAGGGUGGGAAGCUACAAUGAAAGAAAUACUUUGCUGACCAAGAUGAGUCGUCUUGACUAGGUUUCUAUUGAAUAUUUUCUUCUUUUUUCUAUUCAGCUCAAAAUCACCAUAUUUUGUGUAUCUGAAGAAAUAACACCCCGUACCCAAAACAACCCCUAAACCUGCUGAACAUUUCCAAUUAAAUGCUUCUCAGGGGUCCCUCCAUUUUUGUUUUGUGUGUGGGGGGGCACAAUUUCCCUCAUCUUUCCUCACGCUUAUUUUCAGACUCAUUGGGAUACACUGCUGUUUAAUCCAUUUAGCUGUAUUGACCCUCAUCACGUUUGUCUGCAAGCUUCCAUGACAGCAUCCCCUCAGACAAAGAAUUGUGGUUUCACCUUCACUUUCCGGAAACAGUUGCAGACAUUUUUGUUCUGACAGGUUUUCCCAGCUGGAUAAAGGGGUCUUUACCACAAGUGCCCACUUGUUAGGGUUUUAGUCCUGCUCAAAGUGGAAUGGGGAGUGGUUAUUGGUUGAUUCUUUCCUCCAAGACCGUUUUAUCUUCUCCACCACCCAUUUUCUUGUAGAACAAUGAAACGCCCAUGCACUGUGGCUUAGCUGUAGCGAGAUGAUUCACCUACAUAUGAACUCAGGUCUGCUGCAAGAAAGCUUCUGGGGAAAGGUGAAGCUUUAUAAAUAUUUGAAAUCUUACUGUGAGCACGGGAAAAUGUGACACAUGUUUUAUAAUGCAAUAUCUGCUGCAGCACUAUUAUUUCAGAGCUUGUCGCCUUUUGUCGACACUCCUCUUGCAAUAUAUGCCAUUAUUUCAGAGCCAACAGUUAGCACUGUAGCGAUGGUUCGGCAGUGGACACUUGCCCUGGACAUAGCCUGGGCAGGUGCAUGAAAUGGGCGCCUUAAUAUAAUGCAAUAUUUUGAACGUUGUUUUGCAAGAGAAGCGCAGUGGUUCGUGCUUCCUUUUCCUAUCUACUGCACUUUAUCCUCUGCCCCAAACUAUGUUAUUUAUCUCCCUCUCCCUGUUUGCCUUUCUUCCUCCUCUUUCUGCGGUUCCUUAAAUUAUUUUUUUAAUAUAUUU
Molecule: long non-coding RNA, 1605 nt
Organism: Podarcis muralis (Common wall lizard)
Lineage: Eukaryota; Metazoa; Chordata; Lepidosauria; Squamata; Lacertidae
Source: RefSeq, a predicted model, not a curated record